AACGAACGCUGGCGGCGCGCCUAAUACAUGCAAGUCGAGCGAGAAGGUGUAGCAAUACACUUGUAAAGCGGCGAACGGGUGAGGAAUACAUGGGUAACCUACCCUCGAGUGGGGAAUAACUAGCCGAAAGGUUAGCUAAUACCGCAUACGAUUCCAGGACUUCGGUCCUGGAAGGAAAGCACUACCGUGGGUAGUGCGCUCCUGGAUGGGCUCAUGUCCUAUCAGCUUGUUGGGAGGUAAAGGCUCACCAAGGCUUCGACGGGUAGCUGGUCUGAGAGGACGAUCAGCCACACUGGCACUGCGACACGGGCCAGACUCCUACGGGAGGCAGCAGUAAGGAAUAUUGCGCAAUGGGCGAAAGCCUGACGCAGCGACGCCGCGUGGGGGAGUGAAGGUC
RNAcentral lists this ribosomal RNA (397 nucleotides) under uncultured bacterium. RNAcentral's name for it is "bacterial SSU rRNA". It matches the Rfam family "Bacterial small subunit ribosomal RNA", at positions 29 to 416 of the family's 1533-position model. The record is from RNAcentral.